UACGUAGGGUGCAGGCGUUAAUCGGAAUUACUGGGCGUAAAGCGUGCGCAGGCGGUUUCUUAAGUCAGAUGUGAAAGCCCCGGGCUUAACCUGGGAACUGCGUUUGAAACUGGGAGACUAGAGUGUGGCAGAGGGGGGUGGAAUUCCACGUGUAGCAGUGAAAUGCGUAGAUAUGUGGAGGAACGCCGAUGGCGAAGGCAGCCCCCUGGGUUAACACUGACGCUCAUGCACGAAAGCGUGGGGAGCAAACAGG
This 253-nucleotide ribosomal RNA is filed under the name uncultured bacterium. RNAcentral describes it as "partial 16S ribosomal RNA". It matches the Rfam family "Bacterial small subunit ribosomal RNA", at positions 524 to 776 of the family's 1533-position model. The record is from RNAcentral.